This 107-nucleotide small RNA is filed under the name Marmota monax (woodchuck). Lineage: Eukaryota; Metazoa; Chordata; Mammalia; Rodentia; Sciuridae. The record is from RNAcentral.
GCCGGGGGUGGUGGCCCACACCUGCAAUUCCAGAGACUAGGGAGGCUGAGUCAGGAGGAUCACAAGAUGGAGGCCAGCCUCCACCAUUUAGUGAGAAACUGUUUCAC